AUACGUAGGGGGCGAGCGUUGUCCGGAAUUAUUGGGCGUAAAGGGUUCGCAGGCGGUCUGAUAAGUCAGAUGUGAAAGGCAAUGGCUCAACCAUUGUAAGCAUUUGAAACUGUCAGACUUGAGUUAAGGAGAGGAAAGUGGAAUUCCUAGUGUAGCGGUGAAAUGCGUAGAUAUUAGGAGGAAUACCAGUGGCGAAGGCGACUUUCUGGACUUAUACUGACGCUGAGGAACGAAAGCGUGGGGAGCAAACAGGAUUAGAUACCCUGGUAGUCCACGCCGUAAACGAUGAGUGCUAGGUGUUGGGGGUCAAACCUCGGUGCCGCAGCUAACGCAUUAAGCACUCCGCCUGGGGAGUACGUACGCAAGUAUGAAACUUAAAUGAAUUGGCGGGG
RNAcentral lists this ribosomal RNA (392 nucleotides) under uncultured bacterium. Its description in RNAcentral is "partial 16S ribosomal RNA". It matches the Rfam family "Bacterial small subunit ribosomal RNA", at positions 523 to 918 of the family's 1533-position model. The record is from RNAcentral.